UAGGGAAUUUUCCACAAUGGGCGAAAGCCUGAUGGAGCAAUGCCGCGUGAUGGAAGACGGUUUUCGGAUUGUAAACAUCUGUUGUAAGGGAAGAACACUAAUAAUAGGAAAUGAUUAAUAGCUGACGUUACCUUACCAGAAAGCACCGGCUAACUACGUGCCAGCAGCCGCGGUAAGACGUAGGGUGCAAGCGUUAUCCGGAAUUACUGGGCAUAAAGGGCGUGUAGGCGGUUCGGUAAGCCUGGCGUGAAAGGUACCGGCCUAACCGGUAGACGGCGCUGGGAACUGGCGGACUGGAGUUUUGGAGGGGGAGCUGGAAUUCCUGGUGUAGGGGUGAAAUCUGUAGAGAUCAGGAAGAACACCGGUGGCGAAGGCGAGCUCCUGGCCAAUGACUGAUGCUGAGGCGCGAAAGCGUGGGGAGCAAACAGGAUUAGAUACCCUGGUAGUCCACGCUGUAAACGAUGUGCACUAGGUGUUGGUGCCAUACGGGCAUCGGUGCCGUAGUCAAGGCGUUAAGUGCACCGCCUGGGGAGUAUGCUCGCAAGGGUG
This 549-nucleotide ribosomal RNA is filed under the name uncultured bacterium. RNAcentral's name for it is "bacterial SSU rRNA". It matches the Rfam family "Bacterial small subunit ribosomal RNA", at positions 355 to 896 of the family's 1533-position model. The record is from RNAcentral.